CUGGGGCCUUCCUACCCCAACCUGUGAACUAGGGACUCUAUUUCAACUCUGUCAGAGUCUUUUUUUCUGUGCUGGGCUAUCUUCAGGCUUGUCCUGCUGCUUGAGGGUCCCAGCCUGGUGCAAGCAGCUGACUUUGCCUCACUAGGGCCUGGCUUGUCCCCUUGGCAUGUCAAGGGACACUGAGGGAGCCUCUGGCCAUCCCAGCACUGCUCAGGAAAAAGAAAAGGGGGACCGUUUGAUGUGUGGCUGCGAACAAUCUGAAGGCUUCUGAAGCCAGACUCAGCUUUCAUUUGGAGGAAGGAGAAGUUUCACAGCUAUGAGGAAACAGUUACAGAGACAAAGCUUGCUGAAAUGAAAACGAACUAAUUACCAUGGAACAUGGUUUUUCUACAAGUCAUUUGGGUGCGAGAGUUAACCAGCUCUUGGCUUUGGGGCCUCUGGUUCUUGCGGCUUUCUGACAGUGUUUUGUGGAGUGAGUGGAUAACCCGUCCUGAAGCCACUUCAGAUGAGCAGGUACAACAAAAGGAAAAAAUGAAGGCCCAGUCUUCUUGGAGGCUAAAUGCCUUGGUGUUCAGUGCUCUGUUGGUAUUAAAUAUGUCUGUCUGCCCUCAAGCCAGCUGUGGUCCCAGAGCUACCUGCCUGAAAGGCUCCUGCCAAAUUGAAAUUGGCAACAACUUCCCCAACAUGUGGACAGGAACUCAUUGCUUAUUUUUCCUGAUGGAUUUUUCUUUUAUUAAAUUGGAUAUGUAAUGAUAAAUAGAAUAUAUUCUGUUUGAGAGGUGGGCGGGAAGUGGGGAAAAUGACUCCAGGAUCUAGGGAUCCUGAAA
RNAcentral lists this long non-coding RNA (827 nucleotides) under Anser brachyrhynchus (Pink-footed goose). Its description in RNAcentral is "lncRNA (ENSABRG00000012840.1)". The record is from RNAcentral. Lineage: Eukaryota; Metazoa; Chordata; Aves; Anseriformes; Anatidae.